GAUGAACGCUAGCGGCAGGCCUAACACAUGCAAGUCGAGGGGUAGAAGGCUUUCGGGCCUUUGAGACCGGCGCACGGGUGCGUAACGCGUAUGCAAUCUGCCUUACACUAAGGGAUAGCCCGGAGAAAUCCGGAUUAAUACCUUAUAGUAUAUUGAUGUGGCAUCACAUUAUUGUUAAAGAUUUAUCGGUGUAAGAUGAGCAUGCGUCCCAUUAGCUAGUUGGUAUGGUAACGGCAUACCAAGGCAAUGAUGGGUAGGGGUCCUGAGAGGGAGAUCCCCCACACUGGUACUGAGACACGGACCAGACUCCUACGGGAGGCAGCAGUGAGGAAUAUUGGUCAAUGGGCGCAAGCCUGAACCAGCCAUGCCGCGUGCAGGAUGACUGCCCUAUGGGUUGUAAACUGCUUUUGUACGGGAAGAAACACCUCUACGUGUAGAGGCUUGACGGUACCGUAAGAAUAAGGAUCGGCUAACUCCGUGCCAGCAGCCG
RNAcentral lists this ribosomal RNA (490 nucleotides) under uncultured bacterium. RNAcentral's name for it is "bacterial SSU rRNA". It matches the Rfam family "Bacterial small subunit ribosomal RNA", at positions 28 to 517 of the family's 1533-position model. The record is from RNAcentral.